GCUCCGUUAGCUCAGUUGGAAGAGCGCUACCUUGGUAAGGUAGAGGUCUCGAGUUCGACUCUCGAACGGGGCU
RNAcentral lists this transfer RNA (73 nucleotides) under Candidatus Aenigmatarchaeota archaeon. RNAcentral's name for it is "tRNA-Thr". It matches the Rfam family "tRNA". Rfam says of the family: Transfer RNA (tRNA) molecules are approximately 80 nucleotides in length. The record is from RNAcentral. Lineage: Archaea; Nanobdellati; Candidatus Aenigmatarchaeota.